This 518-nucleotide ribosomal RNA is filed under the name uncultured bacterium. RNAcentral describes it as "partial 16S ribosomal RNA". It matches the Rfam family "Bacterial small subunit ribosomal RNA", at positions 29 to 523 of the family's 1533-position model. The record is from RNAcentral.
AACGAACGCUGGCGGCGUGCCUAACACAUGCAAGUCGAACGGAAUUAGAGAGCUUGCUCUUUGAUUUAGUGGCGCACGGGUGAGUAACGCGUAGAUAAUCUGCCUGACGGUGUGGGAUAACACUUCGACAGAGGUGCUAAUACCGGAUAAGCACACGAGUUCUUUGGAAUCUGCGGGAAAAGGGGGGGACGUUCGGGCCUUCUGUCGUCAGAUGAGUCUGCGUACCAUUAGCUAGUUGGUAGGGUAAAGGCCUACCAAGGCGACGAUGGUUAGCUGGUCUGAGAGGAGGAUCAGCCACACUGGAACUGAAACACGGUCCAGACUCCUACGGGAGGCAGCAGUGGGGAAUUUUGCGCAAUGGGCGAAAGUCUGACGCAGCAACGCCGCGUGAGUGAUGAAGGCUUUCGGGUCGUAAAGCUCUGUCAAUGGGAAAGAAGUGUAUUUUGGCUAAUAUCCUUAAUACUUGACGGUACCCAUAAAGGAAGCACCGGCUAACUCCGUGCCAGCCGCCGCGGUAA